RNAcentral lists this long non-coding RNA (468 nucleotides) under Serinus canaria (Common canary). Its description in RNAcentral is "lncRNA (ENSSCAG00000011404.1)". Lineage: Eukaryota; Metazoa; Chordata; Aves; Passeriformes; Fringillidae. The record is from RNAcentral.
CUAAGUUCUUAUUUCUUUGUGUGCUGAUUCGACAAGUACUAGUGAUCUGUGUUGAUCUUUUUCUUUACUGCUUUUCAGAAAAAGGAUAAUCCUGAACUAAUUUAUGCUCCUCAUUUGAAACAUUGAUGCCUGGUAUUGAGAGUAAAGCAAGGAAGCUGGUAAAAUUUGGGGACUACUGGUAUCUUUGAUAUAUUUCUAGCAACGCCUUUCAUGAGAAUUUUAGUUCUUUGUGAAUUUGAAAAUAGAGGUGAUAAACCAGGUGCAGUUUUUGUGAAGCAAAUGAGUCUUAUUGACAGAUCUGGUUCAGAUGAUCUGAUAGAUGAUUUAGAUUCACAAAGAAUUUGCAGAUGCCACUUGGAUUUUCCAUUGCAGUUACUGGUAACUGAUUUUUAAUUCUUUGUUGCUGUUUGAGAGUGAUAGUUUUAUUUGUUUCACUUUUUAAAUAAAACUGAGCUGUUUAUAUCUUUG